AUGCCAUGGUCCGAGAACCCCAUUCCUUUCCCGCCUCUCCCUAGCUCCAGGAAGGUAGGAAGAACAGGUGGGAGAUUCAGGGCCGCGGAAGGAGGACAUUCGGGGAAUUCCCAGGAGGUGGAAAGAAGCGACGCUUGGGAGAAGCAGCCCCCAUCCCUUGCAAAAUCCUCCCCAGGUCCUCAGCAUCUUUGCCCGUAUCUGUGCCUUCACAAGAAAAUUCAGAAGGGGAAGUUUUCGACUGCGAGGUGUACAGUUCACCUGCAGUCCCGAGCCCUCCCCGCGGCUCAAAGGAGGCAAAUCGGGAGCCAGCCUCGGGCCAACUUCGUACCUGGGGUCGGGAAGCGGUCCCCGCGGCCAGCGCCUCCCGAUUCUGCGCGCUUCCUCCCGGCACUGGGCAAGGCCUGCCGGUUCCGGGCGGCGCCUUCCCCACGGCGCGCAUGCGCCACUGCCCGCCCUCCCUCGGCUGGGCGUGUCCCGCACGGGCUCCAGACGGGAGGCCAGUCCGCUCGACGGCCUCUGGCUCCUUCUCCCGGGCUUUCGGCUCCGGCUCCGCACCCGGACUGGGGUCUGCUGCCUCCUGCCGGACGGGGCGGGACUGAGAAGCAUCCGCCGAGAGUGGAUCUGGGUGUAGCCGGGAUCCCAGAAGGCGGAGUUUUAACCGACAGUCCUUCAGAGAUUUGAAGAAGGCGGUCACGUAGGAGUUAUCAAGCAGCUCUAGGAGUGUUGCUGGGCUGUGAAUAAUAGCAGUUUCUUAAUAUUAAAGAAAAAAACCCUAAGAAUAUACGGUAAAUCUUGUGAAGAUUUGUUUGCUGAACCUAUUCCUUGUGCAUGAAAGUGCUUCAGGGAAGUAACGUGACUAUCUCACUUAUGAGAAGUCUAAGUUGGUCCCAGGGAGUUGAUAGGAUUGCUGAAGGUUCCCAGGAGAGCUGAUGGCAGGCACUGGAAUGUGGAGUGGGGGAAGUUUGGCUCCAAG
This 973-nucleotide long non-coding RNA is filed under the name Zalophus californianus (California sea lion). RNAcentral describes it as "lncRNA (ENSZCAG00015008098.1)". The record is from RNAcentral. Lineage: Eukaryota; Metazoa; Chordata; Mammalia; Carnivora; Otariidae.